RNAcentral lists this ribosomal RNA (252 nucleotides) under uncultured bacterium. Its description in RNAcentral is "partial 16S ribosomal RNA". It matches the Rfam family "Bacterial small subunit ribosomal RNA", at positions 524 to 776 of the family's 1533-position model. The record is from RNAcentral.
UACGUAGGGGGCUAGCGUUGUCCGGAUUUAUUGGGCGUAAAGAGCGUGUAGGCGGCCAGGUAGGUCUGGUGUGAAAACUCGAGGCUUAACCUCGAGAUGUCAUCGGAAACCAUCUGGCUAGAGUCCGGAAGAGGAGAGUGGAAUUCCUGGUGUAGCGGUGAAAUGCGCAGAUAUCAGGAAGAACACCAAUGCGAAAGCAGCUCUCUGGGACGGUACUGACGCUGAGACGCGAAAGCGUGGGGAGCGAACAGG